This 818-nucleotide long non-coding RNA is filed under the name Homo sapiens (human). RNAcentral's name for it is "non-protein coding LINC02102:14". Lineage: Eukaryota; Metazoa; Chordata; Mammalia; Primates; Hominidae. The record is from RNAcentral.
GGAAUGGACACGGGCAGUUGCCCUUGUCCAGCUUCCAGGAUCUGUUACACAGGCCUAAAGCAACAACCAGAAGCCUUCCUGGGUGUUUACAUUACAGCACACCAGACUGCAGGCACCGCCACCCCAGACUCUGCCUGCAGCUAAAGUCACCAAGUUUGCCGUGCCCCAUAACUGAGGUCAUUGGCAGCCCAGCACCAAGCCUCACUGGCAUCAAGGGCAGCGGGUUAGUAAGCAUGGCUCCACACGGGUAAGCAGUUCUAGGAAAUGGGAAGAAACCCAGACCAUCCAUCUCAGGGUAAGUUUGCUGGAUUUUCUCUCUCUUUUAAGAGUCUUUCAACAGGGCAUACAGCCCAUUCUCAAAUUUAGAUUUCUGUUUUUGUUAAGAACAGGGACUGUGGAACGAAUUUGCCUGACUUUGCCAUCAUUCUGCCAUUUCCUAGCUAUGUGGCCUCAGGCAAACUGAUUAAACUUACUGGCCUCAGAAUGGGGAAAAUUUCUGUAACUCAUGCCUGGAAUUACGUGAAGAUGAAAAGCAGGCAUGUCCAUGAGAUGCUUACAAGAGGGACCAGCGCCGUGUACCUAUUCUGUGCAUCCUACCCGUCCACUGUUCCUUCUCCGUGUUUCUUGAAGAAGCUGGAGUUUUCUUUCAGUCUUCUGCUUCUCCUGUUGCUUCCUCUAACUGAAGGAAGAAUCAGUCCAUGGCUUCUGCUCCAUGCUUUCUGCUCUUGGUUCAGGCUCCAACUUUCCCAUUAAUGGAAGAGAAUGGCUCUCCUGCUCCCAGCUGUAAUGAACUAAUUAAUUUUUCUAUCUCUCUAAUC